Molecule: transfer RNA, 87 nt
Filed under: Gammaproteobacteria bacterium
Lineage: Bacteria; Pseudomonadati; Pseudomonadota; Gammaproteobacteria
Description: tRNA-Leu
Rfam family: tRNA
About the family: Transfer RNA (tRNA) molecules are approximately 80 nucleotides in length. Their secondary structure includes four short double-helical elements and three loops (D, anti-codon, and T loops).
Source: RNAcentral
GCCGAAGUGGUGAAAUUGGUAGACACGCUACCUUGAGGGGGUAGUGGGCAUAUGCCCGUGCGAGUUCGAGUCUCGCCUUCGGCACCA